GAUGAACGCUAGCGGCAGGCUUAAUACAUGCAAGUCGAGGGGCAGCAUGUUUGUAGCAAUACAGAUGAUGGCGACCGGCAAACGGGUGCGGAACACGUACACAACCUUCCUUUUAGUGGGGGAUAGCCCAGAGAAAUUUGGAUUAAUACCCCGUAACAUAUAGAUAUGGCAUCAUGUUUAUAUUAAAGCUACGGCGCUAGGAGAUGGGUGUGCGGCUGAUUAGAUAGUUGGCGGGGUAACGGCCCACCAAGUCUACGAUCAGUAGCUGAUGUGAGAGAAUGACCAGCCACACGGGCACUGAGACACGGGCCCGACUCCUACGGGAGGCAGCAGUAAGGAAUAUUGGACAAUGGGCGCAAGCCUGAUCCAGCCAUGCCGCGUGAAGGAUUAAGGUCCUCUGGAUUGUAAACUUCUUUUAUAAGGGACGAAAAAAGGCUUUUCUAAGUCGUCUGACGGUACCUUAUGAAUAAGCACCGGCUAACUCCGUGCCAGUCGCCGCAGUAA
RNAcentral lists this ribosomal RNA (504 nucleotides) under uncultured bacterium. RNAcentral describes it as "partial 16S ribosomal RNA". It matches the Rfam family "Bacterial small subunit ribosomal RNA", at positions 28 to 523 of the family's 1533-position model. The record is from RNAcentral.